Molecule: ribosomal RNA, 305 nt
Filed under: uncultured bacterium
Lineage: Bacteria
Description: bacterial SSU rRNA
Rfam family: Bacterial small subunit ribosomal RNA
Source: RNAcentral
CCCUACGGGAGGCAGCAGUGGGGAAUAUUGCACAAUGGGGGAAACCCUGAUGCAGCAACGCCGCGUGGGUGAAGGAGCGUUUCGGCGCGUAAAGCCCUGUCAGCGGGGAAGAAGAAAGACGGUACCCGACUAAGAAGCCCCGGCUAACUACGUGCCAGCAGCCGCGGUAAUACGUAGGGGGCAAGCGUUAUCCGGAUUUACUGGGUGUAAAGGGAGCGUAGGUGGCAUGGCAAGCCAGAAGUGAAAACCCGGGGCUUAACCCCGCGGAUUGCUUUUGGAACUGUCAGGCUGGAGUGCAGGAGGGG